AUUGAACGCUGGCGGCAGGCCUAACACAUGCAAGUCGAACGAGUGGCGGACGGGUGAGUAAUGUCUGGGAAACUGCCUGAUGGAGGGGGAUAACUACUGGAAACGGUCGCUAAUACCGCAUACCAUCAGAUGUGCCCAGAUGGGAUUAGCUUGUUGGUGGGGUAACUGCUCACCAAGGCGACGAUCCCUAGCUGGUCUGAGAGGAUGACCAGCCACACUGGAACUUAGACACGGUCCAGACACCUGCGGAAGGCAGCAGUGGAGAAUAUUGAACAAUGGGCGAAAGCCUGAUCCAGCCAUGCCGCGUGUGUGAAGCAGGUCUUCGAAUUGUAAAGCACUUUAAGGUGGGGGGCGUUACCAACAGAAUAAGCACCGGCUAACUUCGUGCCAGCCGCCGCGGUAAUAC
Molecule: ribosomal RNA, 406 nt
Filed under: uncultured bacterium
Lineage: Bacteria
Description: partial 16S ribosomal RNA
Rfam family: Bacterial small subunit ribosomal RNA
Source: RNAcentral